GCUUUCAAAGUCUGAAAGGUAGACUGAAGUAAAAGAUAAACAGCUAGAGUAUAAGGCAUAUUUCACAAAGAAGAAGAGAGGUUUCUAUCAAGGUUGUUUUGCAAGCAAUUCCCACCUAUACGAUGGCAUGUUUUCUCUUGCCAAAAUCUUUAUGUAUGGAGUUGGAAAACAUAAUGGGUUCCUUUUGGUGGAAAAAAAAGUCAUGGAAAGUGAGGUAUGCACUAGUGUGAUUGGAAGUCUUUAUGUGCGC
This 250-nucleotide long non-coding RNA is filed under the name Gossypium barbadense (sea-island cotton). RNAcentral's name for it is "long non-coding RNA (GBAR_LNC005234)". Lineage: Eukaryota; Viridiplantae; Streptophyta; Magnoliopsida; Malvales; Malvaceae. The record is from RNAcentral.